This 468-nucleotide ribosomal RNA is filed under the name uncultured bacterium. Its description in RNAcentral is "partial 16S ribosomal RNA". It matches the Rfam family "Bacterial small subunit ribosomal RNA", at positions 28 to 507 of the family's 1533-position model. The record is from RNAcentral.
GACGAACGCUGGCGGCGUGCUUAACACAUGCAAGUCGAACGGAAAGGCCCUGCUUUUGUGGGGUGCUCGAGGGGCGAACGGGUGAGUAACACGGGAGUAACCUGCCCUUGACGGUGGGAUAACUGCAGGAAACUGGGGCUAAUACCGGAUAGGAGCUGCUGCUGCAUGGGGGGGGUUGGAAAGUUUCGGCGGUUGGGGAUGGACUCGCGGCUUAUCAGCUGGUUGGUUGGGUAGUGGCUUAGCAAGGCUUUGACGGGUAGCCGGCAUGGGAGGGUGACCGGCCACAUUGGGCCUGCGAUACGCCCCAGACUCCUACGGUAGGCAGCAGUGGGGAGUCUUGCACAAUGGGCGGACGCGUGAGGCAGCGGCCCCGCGUGUGGGAUGACGGCCUUCGGGGUGUAAACCGCUUUCGCCUGUGACGAAGCGUUAGUGACGGUACCGGGUAAAGAAGCACCGGCUAACUACGUG